Molecule: unclassified non-coding RNA, 343 nt
Filed under: soil metagenome
Description: partial contains 5.8S ribosomal RNA, internal transcribed spacer 2, and large subunit ribosomal RNA
Rfam family: 5.8S ribosomal RNA (bases 1-120)
Source: RNAcentral
GAUGAAGAACGCAGCGAAAUGCGAUAAGUAAUGUGAAUUGCAGAAUUCAGUGAAUCAUCGAAUCUUUGAACGCACAUUGCGCCCGCCAGUAUUCUGGCGGGCAUGCCUGUUCGAGCGUCAUUACAACCCUCAAGCCCCCGGGCUUGGUGUUGGGGAUCGGCGAGCCUCCGCGCCCGCCGUCCCCUAAAUCUAGUGGCGGUCUCGCUGUAGCUUCCUCUGCGUAGUAGCACACCUCGCACUGGGAAACAGCGCGGCCACGCCGUUAAACCCCCAACUUCUGAACGUUUGACCUCGGAUCAGGUAGGAAUACCCGCUGAACUUAAGCAUAUCAAUAAGCGGAGGA